RNAcentral lists this ribosomal RNA (312 nucleotides) under uncultured eukaryote. RNAcentral's name for it is "SSU rRNA". It matches the Rfam family "Eukaryotic small subunit ribosomal RNA", at positions 587 to 904 of the family's 1831-position model. The record is from RNAcentral.
AGCUCCAAUAGCGUAUAUUAAAGUUGUUGCAGUUAGAACGCUCGUAGUCGGAUUUCGGGUCGGGUCGACCGGUCUGCCGAUGGGUACGCACUGGUCGACGCGGCCUUCCUUCCGGAGACCAUGCCUACUCUUAACUGAGCGGGCGUGGGAGACGGAACGUUUACUUUGAAAAAUCAGAGUGUUUCAAGCAGGCAGCUCGCUCUUGCAUGGAUUAGCAUGGGAUAAUGAAAUAGGACUUUGGUGCUAUUUUGUUGGUUUCGAACACCGAAGUAAUGAUUAACAGGGACAGUCAGGGGCACUCGUAUUCCGCCG